RNAcentral lists this ribosomal RNA (694 nucleotides) under uncultured bacterium. RNAcentral describes it as "bacterial SSU rRNA". It matches the Rfam family "Bacterial small subunit ribosomal RNA", at positions 32 to 715 of the family's 1533-position model. The record is from RNAcentral.
AACGCUAGCUACAGGCUUAACACAUGCAAGUCGCGGGGUAACGAGAGGGAAGCUUGCUUUCCUUGUCGACGACCGGCGCACGGGUGAGUAACGCGUAUCCAACCCGCCCAUUACCACGGGAUACCCCGUCGAAAGGCGGCCUAAUACCGUAUGCAGUCGUCAGAUGACAUCAGAGGACGACGAAAGGAUUGGCGGUAAUGGAUGGGGAUGCGUCUGAUUAGGUAGUUGGAGGGGUAACGGCCCACCAAGCCAUCGAUCAGUAGGGGUUCUGAGAGGAAGGUCCCCCACAUUGGAACUGAGACACGGUCCAAACUCCUACGGGAGGCAGCAGUGAGGAAUAUUGGUCAAUGGGCGCGAGCCUGAACCAGCCAAGUAGCGUGAGGGAUGACGGCCCUAUGGGUUGUAAACCUCUUUUAUGCGGGAAUAAAAUGUUUGACGUGUCAUACAUUGUAGGUACCGCAAGAAUAAGGACCGGCUAAUUCCGUGCCGGCAGCCGCGGUAAUACGGAAGGUCCAGGCGUUAUCCGGAUUUAUUGGGUUUAAAGGGAGCGUAGAUGGGUUGUUAAGUCAGUUGUGAAAGUUUGCGGCUCAACCGUAAAAUUGCAAUUGAUACUGGCAGUCUUGAGUACAGUUGAGGUAGGCGGAAUUCGUGGUGUAGCGGUGAAAUGCUUAGAUAUCACGAAGAACUCCGAUUG